RNAcentral lists this non-coding RNA (184 nucleotides) under Enterococcus thailandicus. RNAcentral describes it as "Listeria sRNA rliD". It matches the Rfam family "Listeria sRNA rliD", at positions 27 to 210 of the family's 327-position model. The record is from Rfam by way of RNAcentral. Lineage: Bacteria; Bacillati; Bacillota; Bacilli; Lactobacillales; Enterococcaceae.
UUUGCUUCUUUAGAAGAAACUGCUGCACUUAAUACUACAGUGUCACCAUAACGAACUAAAACAGCUCCAUUCGCUUGUUUUGCUAAUUGACCGACUUCUACUUCUAAGGGACGGCCUCCCCAUGUCAUUUUAAAUACUUGUUUUUCUGACAUAACUUCUCCUUUUCCAUUUCGUGAAAGCAAGA